This 93-nucleotide ribosomal RNA is filed under the name Periophthalmus magnuspinnatus. Lineage: Eukaryota; Metazoa; Chordata; Actinopteri; Gobiiformes; Gobiidae. The record is from RNAcentral.
ACCUUCUUGUCAAAGCCUUAUCUCAGAUCUCAGAAGUAAGCAGGGUUGGGCCUGGUUAGUACUUGGAUGGGAGACCACUGGGAAUACCAGGUG